AUGCCAGCCAGGGGAUGGCUCGGCUCAAGUGCUGAAGAAGGACGUGCCAAGCUGCGAUAAGCCUCGGCGAGGCGCAUGGAGCCAUUGAACCGAGGAUGUCCUAAUGGGAAAUCCUAAGUCUAAGACUUGAUCCUCAAGGAUCGGGAACGUCCCGGAUUGAAACAUCUUAGUAGGGACAGGAAGAGAAAUCAACCGAGAUACCGUCAGUAACGGCGAGUGAACGCGGUAGAGCCUAAACCGAAUCCUGCAAGGGAGAUGUGGUGUUAUAAGCUGGUCUAAACGUUUUAAUCUGGAAGUCGAAGUGGCCUGGAAUGGCCUGCCAUAGAGUGUGAGAGCCACGUAGUCGUAACAGAUCAAUACCGAGACCAUGACUUGAGUACCGUGCGUCGGAAAUCGCGCGGGAAUUUGGGGGUCACCAACCUCCAAGGCUAAAUACAACUUGAGACCGAUAGCGUAGUAGUAGUGUGAACGAAAGCUGAAAAGUACCCCAAAUAGGGAGGUGCAAAGAGCCUGAAAUUGGCUGGCGAUAGUGCGUUAGGGCGCCAAAGGAUCUUUCUUUCGAAGGAAACGGUGGCAACGCCGCAGUACGAGAGAGACUGCCAGCGUUCUAACAUGCGUUUUGAAGAACGAACCAGGGAGUGCAUAUUGGCGGCGAGGCUAAUUCUUUAACAGAGGAAGCCGUAGCGAAAGCGACAAGCGCGCAUGAGAAGAGGCGCGACGUAUACAAGUGCGUGCAGUCGUCCGUAUGCGACCCGAAGCCGGGCGAUCUAGGCGUAGGUAGGUCGAAGCGUGGCGAAAGCUGCGUGGAGGACCGUUUGAGGUGUUGAUAUGCAAAUCGCUCUCGUGACCCGCGUCUAGGGGUGAAAGUCCAAUCGAGGUCGGAAAUAGCUGGUUCCUCCCGAAACAUAUCGCAGUAUGACCUGGUCUGAGAUAGUCGGCGGAGUAGAGCACUGAUUGGGGAAGCCGGACUCGAAAGGGUCUGUUCUCUUGUCAAACUCCAAAACCGCCGUCGUCGUAGACGACCAGCAGUCCGGGCUGGGGGGUAAGCUUCUAGUCCGUGAGGGAGACAACCCUGACCGUGGUUAAGGUCCCCAAAUAUCGGCCAAGUGUCAACACUUAAGGGAGUCCUGGGUCAUAAACAACUGGGAGGUUAGCUUAGAAGCAGCUAUCCUUUAAAGAGUGCGUAACAGCUCACCAGUCGAGAUUCAGGGCCCCGAAAAUGGACGGGGCUAAGCCGAUUACCGAUACCACGGAGCACCGCAAGGUGAUCUAGUAGGGAGGCGCUCUGCGUGGGCAGAAGCAUCUGCGUGAGCAGGUGUGGACCGCGUAGAGACGAAAAUCCUGGUAGCAGUAGCAGCAAAAUCGGGUGAGAAUCCCGAUCGCCGUAAGGGCCAGGGUUCCUCGGCAAUGUUCGUCAGCCGAGGGUCAGUCGGUCCUAAGACGUACCUUAAUCGGAGUACGCCAAAUGGGAAACAGGUUAAUAUUCCUGUACCUUUCAACAUUAAAACUGACGCUUCCGGAUAUGUCAAGCGUCCUUGCCUGGGCGUUCAAUCGUAUAAUCCUGUGGAGAGCCGUAAUGGCGAGAACCAGGAGAAAGCGUGAUGACGUAAGUUGGCAAAUUCCAGGAGUCCGUGAAAAGGGAGUUGAAAGUCCGUACCGAGAUCCAACACUGGUGCCCCAAGCUGAGAAGGCUAAGGCGUUUCGGCAUAUGCUAGCUAAGGGAAUUCGGCAAAUUAGCCACGUAACUUCGGGAUAAGUGGUGCCUGCUUUGCAAAAAGCAGGUCGCAGUGACGAGGGGACUCUAACUGUCUAAUAACAACAUAGGUGAUUGCGAAUCCGUAAGGACUAGUACAAUCACUGAAUCCUGCCCAGUGCAGGUACCUGAAAACCCGGUUCAACGGGAGGAAGGGCCUGUCAACGGCGGGGGUAACUAUGACCCUCUUAAGGUAGCGUAGUACCUUGUCGCUUAAUUGGCGACUUGCAUGAAUGGAUUGACGAGUGCCCUACUGUCCCUAACACGAAACCGUUGAACAUUUUAUCCU
Molecule: ribosomal RNA, 2042 nt
Filed under: Methanosaeta sp. UBA243
Lineage: Archaea; Methanobacteriati; Methanobacteriota; Methanomicrobia; Methanotrichales; Methanotrichaceae
Description: bacterial LSU rRNA
Rfam family: Archaeal large subunit ribosomal RNA
Source: RNAcentral